AUCCUUGCUAAUGCUCUGUAAGUCUGUACACAAGAUUUCACACAGCAAGACAACUGAGCCAAAGGAUACCUUGUAUGUUCAAGAACAGGUAGAUCAGGGCACUCCUUAUAUUCAUUAUCCCCUCAGUCGCCACUUACCUGUUGCCCACACAAGAUAAUUCUACAAGCUCACUGUUAAGAAAGCAGAACUGUUACUGAUCAUGUAUGUUUAUUAGAAAUGGCUGGUCAUGGAGAACACUAGUGGCUUGAAUGAUUCAAACUUAUCUAGAUAUUUUACAGAUGAGUUCUAAUCUGGUCCAGUAGACUGAAGUAGCAGUGGGAGUACCCUAGAAACACCUCUGAAGCACAUCUACCCAUUUACCUCUCAUCAGAAAUGUAUCAAGUUCAUGCACUCCAAGAUUGGUUUACAUUGUGGAACUGGAAGAAGCACAGGAAGAAUGGAUGACUGAGAAAUUUGCUUCAAAAACACUUGUUGGAUCCAAAGUCUAACACUAAAGCAGCUGCAUCUAUGUGGGACUGAUUCAGGCACAAGAUAUUAAAAAGUGUGUUCUGAUAUGAUGUGAAAAAAAAAUAUUAAACUGCACGUCUCAGUCACAGUAGCUGGAGGAAAAGAGAUAUUUUUGCUCAUCUGGGAUCAUAUUAUAAACUACAGGGAAAGGUUCUGACCUUGGAAACCAGGGCCCACCUUGCUUAGAUGCAAAAGGGGACUCUGAGAACAUGCAGUGAGUGGAGAGUCAUUUAUACUGAAUAAUUCUGCCUAAAAACACUUUCCCCCCACCCCUCCCUCCUUUCUGGGCUUAACUUUACUCCAC
Molecule: long non-coding RNA, 811 nt
Organism: Harpia harpyja (harpy eagle)
Lineage: Eukaryota; Metazoa; Chordata; Aves; Accipitriformes; Accipitridae
Exons: 4
Source: RefSeq, a predicted model, not a curated record